UACGAAGGUGGCAAGCGUUACUCGGAAUUACUAGGCGUAAAGGGCAGGUAGGUGGUUUGGUAAGUCUAUUGUGAAAGCUCCCGGCUUAACUGGGAGAGGUCAAUGGAUACUGCCGGACUUGAGUAUAGGAGAGGUUACUGGAAUUCCCGGUGUAGCGGUGAAAUGCGCAGAGAUCGGGAGGAACACCAAUGGCGAAAGCAGGUAACUGGACUAUUACUGACACUCAGCUGCGAAAGCUAGGGGGGCAAACAGG
Molecule: ribosomal RNA, 253 nt
Filed under: uncultured bacterium
Lineage: Bacteria
Description: partial 16S ribosomal RNA
Rfam family: Bacterial small subunit ribosomal RNA
Source: RNAcentral